Lagopus muta (rock ptarmigan) is the source of this 7301-nucleotide long non-coding RNA. RefSeq lists it as uncharacterized. The record is from RefSeq and is a predicted model, not a curated record. NCBI's taxonomy places the organism in Eukaryota, Metazoa, Chordata, Aves, Galliformes, Phasianidae. The transcript has 2 exons.
GCCGCCUGGCGGCGGGCGGGCGCCGUACCUGUGGUCAGGUUGUCAUUGAUCUUCAGCGGCACCCGCAGGAUGUACACCAGGAAGAGCAUGAUGAAGAACCACACCGUCCAGAGAAUCAGCUUUAAAAUUAUACAAGAAACCUCACUGCUGAUGAAGCCUUCAAUGCCAGUUUCUAUCAGAAGGAAAUCCAAGAACUCUGCUAAUACCGUGCUACUUCAGCAUCACAGAGACCUACAUUAACAAGAUGUGGAGAAAACCAAACAAUUUGCUUUUAAACAUGAGCAGAAACCAAAGGGCAAGAUGUAGAGAAAUGACGACAAGUGUUGAAUUUCAUGUUGAAACUAGAAUUGCUGGUAUUAAUCCUGAACCUAAAGGCAGCACAGUCUGGAAACACUCUUCAAACACGUCAUUAUGUAUUUGGCACAAGAAAGGGUGGUGUAUUUCACCUCUUCAGCUUUGACUGACACCAGGGCUUACAUACAAGGUACUGCUGGAUGAACAGUCUGCUAUAGUACAUAUUUGAAGACACAGUAAGGAAGAUGUAACAUCUAUCCUAAUAAUAAUAUUGUUAAAGGCCUACAGGAAUUUAGAGGGGAAAGUUAGAUUUUACCGUCAGCUGUUUCUUUCAGAGCAGACAGAUCUCUGUCCUACUAAGUGCAGUCAAGCUGCAGCUGAUCCUUAAUCACAGAAUCACAGAAUGACCAGGGUUGGAAGGGACCUCAAGGACCAUGAAUCUCCAACCCCCUGCCACAUGCAGGGCCACCAAUGCCCCCAUUUAAUAUUAGACCAGGCUGCCCAGGGCCGUCCAACCUGGCCUUGAACACCUCCAGGGACGGGGCAUCCACAACCUCUCUGGGCAGCCUGUUCCAGCACCUCACCACUCUCUCUGUAAAGAAUUUCCCCCUCACAUCCAACCCAAAUCUUCCCUCCCUCAACUUAAAACCAUUUCCCCUUGUCCUUCAGUUAUCUACCCUUUCAAAGAGUUGAUUCCCCUCCUGUUUGUAGGCUCCUUUUAGGCACUGAAAGGCUGCAGUGAGGUCACCCCACAGCCUUCUUUUCUCCAGGCUGAACGAGCCCAGAUCCCUCAGCCUGUCUUCGUAGGGGAGGUGCUCCAGUCCCCUGAUCAUCUUUGUGGCCCUCCUCUGGACCCUCUCCAACAGCUCCCCGUCUUUUCUGUACUGGGGGCUCCAGACCAGGACACAGUACACCAGAUGGGGCCUCACAAGAGCAGAGUAGAGGGGGACAAUCACCUCCCUGCCCCUGCUGGCCACCCCUCUUCUGAUGGAGCCCGGGAUGCUUUCUGAGCUGCAAGAGCACCCUGCUGGCUCAUGUUAAGCUUUCCAUCUAUCAAGACUCCCAGGUCCUUCUGUGCAGGGCUGCUUUCAAGCACCGCUCCUUCCAGUCUGUAUGGAUGCCUGGCAUUCCUCCGGCCCAAGUGCAGAACUGUGCACUUUGCUGUGUUGAACGCCAUCAGGUUCAUCCAGGCCCACCUUUCAAGCCUGUCGAGGUCCCUCUGAAUGGCAUCCCUUCCUUCCACCGUGUCAACCGCACCACUCAGCUUGGUGUUAUCCUGCCACACUGUGGAAUGAAAACCAAGAUAUACUUUUCAUUCAAAGAUUUCAAGAUUCCUAACACUAUUGUUCAGAAUUAUUCCAAUCCAGUCUCUGACCUUUGGACUCCUUUGCCACAGCCAUUUUUUGGCCAACUAUGGUUCUGCUUUCUCACGUUCAUGUUUUCACAAUAAAGUGAAAGACUUGUCAAGUUCACUGGUCUCACAUCAUCUGCAAACUGGUUUAACAAUGCAGCACCAUUUGAAAGGGAAGAGGAAAGUUGACUUUUCUUCCUGGCACUUCAUUUAAAACUGCUAAUGGCUCCUGACAGCUCAGAUUUCUACUCCAGUUGUUUGUUCAGGUAUCAACCUGAAGUGUCACAGCAAAGCUGGAAGAGUGCUUAGAGGUCUGUUCAUCUUUGGAACACUGAUUUAUUUUGUAAUUAGCUUACCUCUUUCCUCGCUUUCGAAAUGAUAUGAAAGUUAUAAAUGCAAGUUGUAAGAAAGAUGGGAGAAACAAGUGCUGGGUCAACAUUCAGACUGCAGGUACAGAAGAUUCACAGAGGUUUUGGGACAAUACCCUUGUUUUUGACUGGAUUAAGAUAGACUGAAAUAGGAAGAACAGCUCAAGCUCCUCAGAGCUGCAGUGUCAGACUCCUUUCUCCAGGCUGAACAGGAGACUUGGAAGAACCACAGUUGAGCACACCCUUGUACCUCUUAUGAUCUUGGUGACAUAUCUUGUAUUAUCACUGUAUGUAGUGCCUUACCUAGGAGAAGGCAGUAUGAUGGCAUCUAUGCAAGGGCACAGCUGGAGCCCUUGCUGGCACCUCAAUGGCACAGCAAGGUUUUGAACAUUCCUACCACUGAAAACCUAAUGUCCAGAUACACAGCUUGUGCAACAGAUGCUCAGUUCUUAGAUUGUACACAUCCUACAGUGCUGUACUUCAGAAAGUCAGCACACGGGACAGGCAGACGGCUGAAGAACUUGAAGAGAAAACAUUUAAUAGUCAUCGUACGCCAAGGAAAUCAGUAGUUUUCUUCCACUUAGAGAACUUGUGGCUGUCAUUUUUGUCAGAUGCAUAAAUGCUUCAUUUGCAAAAGAGGAAGUAGCCUGGUUUCCUGGGAUCUGUUUACCCCAUGAAGUCCCUUCUUUAUCUCAAUGGACAAAAACUCUUUUCUGCACCUAAGAAAUGUUCCACAGGCACCAUGUAAAGUAACUUUUGCCUCACCUCAGGCAGGCUUGCAACCUAUUCAUCCCAGCAACCAGCAUUCCAUUAGAGAAAAUUUUUAUCUGCAACAAGAGGCUGUGAACGCUGCAGGUCUUGCAUUUGUAUUGUUGCACCAAAGCCAUACCUCAGCCUCCUGUGUUAUCAUUCCUAAGUGAUUUCUGAAGUAAGUUUGAAGGGUAACUCAAACGUUGACUUGCAAAAUGGAGAACUACGUAUCUAUUCAGAGAACUGCUCCAAAUUCUUUCACUUCCAUCGACAGAACUGUACUUUGUACACACUUGACAUUGAAAUAUAUUAAGUUCAUUCAAAUAUAAAACCAAAAGGAGCAUUUUGGAAUGAUAUGGAUUUGACAUGCGGACUGUUCAGUGGAUGAGGAACUGGUGUUCAGAGGCUCAGUGUCUGGAUGGAGAUCAGUGACAAGUGAUGUCCCUGCAGGGGUCAGUACUGGGACCUGCGCUCUUUAACAUUUUCAUCAGUGACGUCGACAGUGGGUUUGGGUGCACCCUCAGCAAGCCUGUGGAUGACACCAAGCUGCGGGGUGCAGCUGACACAACCAAAGGACAGGAUGCCAUCCAGAGAGACCCAGACAGACUUGAGCAAUUUGCCCAGAACAAUCUCAUGAGGCUCAACAAGUGCAAGGUCUUGCACCUGGGUCAUGGCAACCCCCACUGUCAGUUCAGGCUGGGGGUGUAAGGGAAGAGCACAGCCCUGAAGAGGAUGAAUUGGGGGCACAGAUGGAUGGCAAGCUGGACAUGAACCAGCAAUGUGCCCUUGCAGCCAACUGGGCUGCAUCCACAGUAGCAUGGCCAACACAGCGAGGAAGGUGAUCCUACCCCUCUACUCUGCACUGGUGAGGUCUAACUGGGAGUACUGUGUCCUCAUAUGGAGUCCUCAGUACAAGAGAAAUGUGGAUCUGAUGGAGUGCACCCAAAGGAAGGCCACAAAAAUGAUGCAAGGGAUGGAACAGCUCUCUGAGGACAGGCUGAGAGCUGGGGCUGCUCAGCCUGGAGAAGAGAAGGCUGCAAGGUGACCUGAGAGCACCCUUCAGUAUCUAAAGGGGCGCUGCAAGAAGUAACUGGACAGACUCUUUAGUGGGGUCUGUGGGACAGGACAACAGGAAAUGGUCUCAAACUAAAAGAGGGCAGAUUUAGACUGGAUACAAGAACAGUUUCUUAUGAUGAGUGAUGAAGCACUGCAACAGCUGCCCAAAGGGGUGCUGGGUGCCCUGCCCCUGCAGACACCCAAGGUGAGGCUGGACGAGGCUGUAGGUGUCCCUGUUCAUUGCAGGGGAACUGGUCUAGAUGGCCUCUAAAGGUUCCUUCCAACUCAAGCGAUUCUAUGAUUUCCUACAAGUGAUUAUUAAUAAGGGUUGACUCCUGCUCCAAAGAAAGCCAACAACAAAAACCACAACCAACCAACCGACUCCUUAUUGCAGGCAAAUUUGAAAGCCCCAAGUCUAGAAGCUGUUUCAAAGCUCAAGAUACUUCAAACAACCAGCAGACAGGCAACAAUCCCUACAAGUGCCUCCUAAUUAAAAAUAAAAGCCUGAUUUCUUUGCCAAUGCACAAUUGCAUUAAUUUGCAGGAAAGGAUGCAUGAUGAAGUCCAAAUGUUUUUCACAGUAUAUAUUCUUAUGAGCCAAAUAUUACCAACUCUUAUCCUCUCUUGUGAGGAGUACAUGGGUAAAAACCAUAUUGUGCACCCCAAAUUAUAGAUAAGCCAGUCAAAGCAACAUUACCAGUAAGAAAGCAUGACGAGUAUUAACUCUUCUGCUCCUUUCCUCCAGCUAUUCAAAGAAAUUGACUUUUUUUAACUGGAUGCAAAUGUUCACCUUUUACAAAGAAGGAAUGUAUUGUUCAGAUUUAUCAUGGAGUUGCCACUGUCAAAAACUGACACUUCUGCAAGGUUAUGAGCAAACAAAGUUUAAUCUAAAUCUAGUUCACAAGAUGCAAGAUUUCAGUUUUUCCAGUAAACAAAUGUGGCAGAAGCUGCACCUGCAUCAGCAAGUACCUCAGUAUGAUAGGAGAGGAUCCAUAAAAUCAAACUGUUGGUGCUGAACCUCUACACCUACACUGUAUUAAGUCUGGAAAUUUGAAAGCUAGAUUGAAUGUGAUUGUGCAGACAUCCUCAACACACGGGUGGCUUCACGUUGUCUGAAGGACAAACCACUGCUAUGGCCCCAUAUCCCUCUGAGGAGCUGGAGUUUGGUGCAAAGCCAGAGCGCACCUCGCCGUGCCGAUUCCUCCACAAGGAAGUGAACUCAAUGUGCCAAAGUGUGCAAAACACAAGAAACAGAAGUGAUGUAACUAGAAUUGCAGUGACGGUAAAGCCUCCUUCUACUUGUAGUGUGAGAACAGAGUCAUACAAAAAAAGGGUUGUUCAGGAGAAUUUGAAAGCAGAAGUGUCACCCCUGUUUCUUGUGUUCACAAGGAGCAAUUAUUUACCUGUGUAUAAGUUAAAAACAUCCUCAGUGGAAGGGGGCACUGAGACGCAUAAGAUAACACAUUUCAUAAACACAAACCUUUUACAAGUCCAUAUCAUAAGCCAUAAUACCUAGUACAGCAACACUGCGCAAUACAAAGCUUGUCUUUAUAUUUAAAAAAUAGAAUAUAAACAAGAAUUAGUUCACAUUGACACAAUUGCCACAGCAAAAUUUCUCAGAAAGUGCUUUACCUACACAAAAUAUCUUAAAGCCCAUCAAAUAAGUUGUAAAGUUCUACAAUUUAACAAUACAAAUUAGAAAACAAAAAUGCAAGUGACAUCCAAAACUUUUGAGAGAAAUUAAGAACUCACGAUGCACCAUCUACCUCAACUGAAUUCCUGUCAGCUUCCUCUGGGGAGUCAUUACUCCCAAAUAUGACAUAAGGUACAAUCCAGAAAAAGUAAUGGAAUAUUUGUUUUACUUCUAAAUUGCUUUACUGACACUGUAACUGUAUGGAUUUGAUGUGCAAGGCAUAGAACUCCUCAAUACGUUUAGUCUGAGAUAAAAAGGUACAAUACAAAUUUAUUCAACUAAAUCUGUGGCUGAAUUGAACACCUUACAGGGAUGCCACUUUUUGAAGACAGGAAUUGAGACUAUCAUGGAACUGAAUGAACAGAGAGGAAAGCACAACCACGGAGUACAUCACAAUAAAAUACCUCUUUAUUAGGAAUAUAUUUAGAAUUAGCCUUUUAUUUCAGAUAAGAAAAAUAGCAUUCUGACUUCCAGCCAGCGCUGAUUCUGAUCACACACAACAUUCUAACAGCUAGAGUAGUUAUCUGCACCACUGCUGCCCACGGACAGUUCUCCUAACUGUCCAUUCACUGCCUUUUACUCUUCUUAAGUAUGCAGAAGAGAAUACUGUAGCAAGGCUCGUAUUUAGAUCUUAAGGAACAUGGACAGACUGACUAGACUGCGACUUUGGAUGUGUCAUCAGCUCGUGUACAACUUCACAAGCUUUCUUUAAAUAAGAAGAACAAGAUGGUUCAAGAGCUGAUCUGUAAAGACAACUAAGAGGACAAUUCUUCAGGAAGGCUGCUGUAGAACAAAGCUCAUUCUUCUACUGGACAGUUCAGAACUGUAAAGUAGCAACAAUUUCAAGAACUUCAGUCAGCUCCAUCCCCCUUUAAAAGAAAACACUGACGAACAGCAUACAGGGGCACUGCUAUUCCAAUCCAAAUAGAAACCUACCUUUGGUGAACAUUUUUAUACUCAGUACAAGAUCAGAUUCUCUCUCUUGCUAUGCUGUAACUUAUGGUUUAAAGUGAUUAACAGGACCAUGCUGUAAACAAAAAUAACCCUUGUGUAAGCUUCACUUUUUGGAGUCUGCAUAAGUAACUAACGUCUAGAAAAAAGAAGCUGUUUGUUUUUCCAUCGUGAGCACAGAGUUGCAUAGCAUCUUUUGGAACAGGCUGUCAUCCAACUAAAAAUGAAAUCCAUGCAUUCACUGAAGUGAAAUACUUAAUUCGUAACAAAUUUUGCCUUUUCUUUUAAAAUUCAUUUCCAAUAUCAGAUCUAUCAGAUGGGGAAAGUAUUCUCCAGAAAAAAACCACGUUAUUUUUAUCUUGCAGUUUCUUCCAUAUGAAGCUAUAAGAUACACAUUUCAAGAAGAGUUCCAUAGGCAGAUGCUUCUAAAAUGUGGGUGGAAACCAUGAAUGAUGACAGUACUACAAUAGAUCUCCAAAUACACUGGAAAUAGCCAACAGGCCACAAAUUUGUGGCUGUUUUAAGCAACACUCUAAAAAUAAAUACCAAAAAUAGGCUCUGUCAGGAAGCAAUUUGAUACUCAAAUAAAUAGAAAAUUUGCAUUUUAAUGUCACAUUGAAUUUUAGUACAUUUCAAUCCAAGGAAAAAAAAAAUGACAGACAUAGUAACGAGUACAGGGUUGUAUAUAUAUUACAAUAUGCCUUGUUAUAAUACACUUGUGGCUUUAUGACAAAAACUUUAGGGCAGAUGGAAUUUAAGCUCAUUUAAGUAACUGUCAGGAACAAAGCAUUAAGUGGAUUUCUGGAGUAAGUACUUUUAUUUAAUUUCAAAACCUUAAA